GGAGGAGGUGCUCCCUCUGCAUCACCACGUCAUUGAGGAGGAGGAGGUGCUCCCUCUGUAUCACCACGUCAUUGAGGAGGAGGAGGUGCUCCCUCUGUAUCACCACGUCAUUGAGGAGGAGGAGGUGCUCCCUCUGCAUCACCACGUCAUUGAGGAGGAGGAGGUGCUCCCUCUGCAUCACCACGUCAUUGAGGAGGAGGAGGUGCUCCCUAUAUAGUGCACUAUUUUAGACCAGAGCCCUAUGGCACCCUAUUCCCUAUAUAGUGCACUAUUUUAGACCAGAGCCCUGUGGGUUCUGAUGAUUCAAAGUAAUGCACUAUAGGUGAGACGAGGUUUUAAUACACUGAUGAGGUUUUAAUACACUGAUGAGGUUUUAAUACACUGACAAGGUAUUAAUACACUGACGAGGUAUUAAUACACUAAUGAGGUAUUAAUACACUGUUUUAAUACACUGAUGAGGUAUUAAUACACUGUUUUAAUACACUGAUGAGGUAUUAAUACACUGACGAGGUUUUAAUACACUGUUUUAAUACACUGUUUUAAUACACUGAUGUUUUAAUACACUGACGAGGUAUUAAUACACUGACGAGGUAUUAAUACACUAAUGAGGUAUUAAUACACUGUUUUAAUACACUGACGAGGUAUUAAUACACUGUUUUAAUACACUGAUGAGGUAUUAAUACACUGUUUUAAUACACUGACGAGGUAUUAAUACACUGACGAGGUAUUAAUACACUGUUUUAAUACACUGACGAGGUAUUUGAUGUGGACGGAUACAGACGUUUACCCAGUGCUGGUUACAGUUUGUCUAUAUAGUCUCCAAUGAUGACAUGAUUUUUGUUGUUUUAAUUAUGUCUUGUCUCGGAAACCUGCUUUUCCUGGUAGUUUUCAAAUGAACAGUUAAAUCAUCACAAGAUGUUAUGUUUGUAAUAAUGGUCUUUGGCGUGGAGACGGCCAACUCGUCCAGUUGAUUUCAUUCAUUUAGUCUGUGUUUUGUGAGUUUAACCUUGCAGGAAUGACAAGUGUCAUCAUGUGUUUGACUGGGAGCCGUCAUGAUUUAGCUACCGUUCAUGUGGUUGAAUCUGUGAUGAUUGCUUAGUUUAUAGUUUAUAACAAUUACAUUUUAUUUGUUGAAUCGCGUCCGAGUUUAAUUUGAUGUUUCAUCCUGUGUACAUUUUGUAUGAUUCAAAACCAUAUGGACAGCGGCGUUUCUUCCAUAUUUUGUUGUUGAGAAACUUAAAUACUGUGACUUGACUUCAGGUACCCAGAAUGAUCGAUAACAGCAGUACAAAUGGUAGUUUCACAGGUCUUUUCAAGUGCUGUUAACAUUGACUUACUCUUCAAUCAUGAUUAUGUUUUUCCAAUCACUUCACCGUCAGGACUUCUUUCUAUUUAAAUCUGAACCUGUAGUGCUGACAUCUUUGUCCUGGGGAAUAUGGCAGUCCUGUGUGAGACUUUAAUAACACUGCCAUCCAGUCCGUCAAUACAAUCCUCACAGUCUGUAGCCAUACAUUUUAAUAGACCCAGCCUCGGACUUACACAGUAACAGUAACUUUACUAUAAAACACUGACACAUAUUUACUGUUCUGUUUUAAAUGCUGUUUGACUGUUCACGAUUCCAUGUCAACCAUUACUACACCAGAAGCAAUAAAGUGUAUUUUGAUUUGUUUCUCAGACUCUUCCUGUCAUUUCAUUUUGGGGGUACUUUCACAUUCUACUGGUGUUGUGUACAUCUGUUUGUUGAGAGAAACGCUGAGCUUCAAUCUCUUCUUCGGAGCUCAUUAACUAAUCUCUAAUGUCCUCCAUUUUAUGAAAUGGAUGUUCUGUUCUGAGGUCCAAACCCAUCUUUAAUGCAACGGUUCUGCUAAGUAUGUUAUUAACGUAUGGUCCUCGAAUCACAAAGAUCCAG
This 1909-nucleotide long non-coding RNA is filed under the name Salmo salar (Atlantic salmon). RNAcentral describes it as "lncRNA (ENSSSAG00000099693.1, ENSSSAG00000113695.1)". Lineage: Eukaryota; Metazoa; Chordata; Actinopteri; Salmoniformes; Salmonidae. The record is from RNAcentral.